AAAAAAUUCUAUCAAAACAAAAUACAGAUCUGAAUUUACAAAUACAAAAUGAUGCAUACACUACAUUACUCUUGCUGAAAUGAUCUCAAAUAGAAAUAUUUUGAAUCCCAGACCAAAAUACCGGAUCACACCCUCACUCUUAAAAAAGAAAAUUUAAAAUCCCAGACCAAAUCCAGAUUUAACCCCUACCAUUUAAAAAGAAAAUUUUGAAGCCCAAACCAAAUUGUAACUAUCUGAUUUGUAGCAGGUCAAGUUUACGGUCUUAUUUCAUACACGCCAGUGACUUACGACCACAUCAUGCAAAAAAAGGUAAGUUUACGGUCUUAUUUCAUACACGCCAGUGACUUACGACUUUAUCAUUCAAACAAGAGGUACGCACCCUGUCUCCAAAUCAUGUAGUACUGAUGCACAAUUUAAAUUCUGUGCUGUUUUGAUAAAAUUUAAUUUAAGAUCAACAGUUUUUAGAGCAAUGCAGUUUUUCACCAGUAUAUUAAAAAAAAUGAGAAAAAUUAUGAAAGCCCGUUUUCUCCCCCACUAAAAACAAUAUGAAAGAUAUAAACUUAUUUUUGGAUUUAAAUUGAACCUAUUCAGAUUUUAACAUGAAUAAAAGUUAGAUCCCAGUGACCUACUUUUGCCAGAAGGGCAGCCCCUACAUAUCAGACUCAAUGAACUGAUGCAAUACAGUAGUCUUUCAACUUAACCAAAUUCAAAUAUAAUUAAUACACAGUGUCAGAUCUAAUUCUAGUAUAAACGCAUCUAUAGUGGGAUUUAAUCAUUUCAAACUAUACUAGUAACAUGUAAAAAAUGUCAAAAUUAAAUUAAACUUAACAAAAUGUAGACUAAAAAAAAAGAAGAUUGUCAGAUGAUUGUUUAUAGAAUAGUUCUAAAUGUGAUUAGGCCUAGAUUAAUAUAUUGUUUGUUUCCCCAAUCCCGACCCUGCUGAGCCAGGUGUGGGUAGGUAGGUAGGGAAAUAAUUUUAUUUUUCCAAAAAGCUUGAAAAUUAUCGGACGAUCCAACAAGCCUGAAAAUCAGAAAUGAAUAAAAUAAUAUUUGACUUAGUUUUGACAAUAAAAUUUUAUGAGUAGCACCAUUUUUGCAGGGUCGGUCGGGAUUGGGGAAACAAACUAUAUUUUAUUUUAGGCCUUAAAAUACAGAUGUACAUGCUUUGCUUACAAUGAUCUGAAAAUGCUCCGCUCUAAUUUCUGUUUUAAAGACCUUUCGUGAUCCUUUUGUUUGUCAUUAUGAUGCUGCACACCUUCAAAAAUUUGGAGGCAGAAAUCAUUGGAUAUAAAUGAUAUAAUACUAAAACAUAGAAAAGAACCAAGUGUUGCCAUAUCAUUGUAGGCAAAGCAUUGACACUUGAUAUGUAAUCUUAACAGAUUGAAAAGUCUCAAAUUGACAGAAAUGUAUUGUAUCAAAUUCAUGUAUAGAUCCUGCAAGACAUAUACAUUGACCACUUGAUCUAUGAUGGCAAAGGAAGUCCUAAUUUGAACAAAAAAACAAAUUUUGAUAGAAUAAUAAAAAAAAAAAGCUCUGGUAAUGAAAUUUUGAAAUAAG
This 1557-nucleotide long non-coding RNA is filed under the name Mytilus galloprovincialis (Mediterranean mussel). Lineage: Eukaryota; Metazoa; Mollusca; Bivalvia; Mytilida; Mytilidae. The record is from RNAcentral.